GAUGGCGACCGGCGCACGGGUGAGUAACACGUAUCCAACCUGCCGAUGACUCGGGGAUAGCCUUUCGAAAGAAAGAUUGAUACCCGAUGGCAUAGUUCUUCCGCAUGGUGGAACUAUUAAAGAAUUUCGGUCAUCGAUGGGGAUGCGUUCCAUUAGGUUGUUGGCGGGGUAACGGCCCACCAAGCCUUCGAUGGAUAGGGGUUCUGAGAGGAAGGUCCCCCACCAUUGGAACUGAGACACGGUCCAAACUCCUACGGGAGGCAGCAUG
This 268-nucleotide ribosomal RNA is filed under the name uncultured bacterium. RNAcentral describes it as "partial 16S ribosomal RNA". It matches the Rfam family "Bacterial small subunit ribosomal RNA", at positions 87 to 353 of the family's 1533-position model. The record is from RNAcentral.